RNAcentral lists this ribosomal RNA (254 nucleotides) under uncultured bacterium. RNAcentral describes it as "partial 16S ribosomal RNA". It matches the Rfam family "Bacterial small subunit ribosomal RNA", at positions 524 to 776 of the family's 1533-position model. The record is from RNAcentral.
UACGUAGGGGGGCGAGCGUUGUCCGGAUUUAUUGGGCGUAAAGAGCGUGUAGGCGGCUUGGUAGGUCUGCUGUGAAAACUCGGGGCUCAACCCCGAGACGUCGGUGGAAACCACCUGGCUAGAGUCCGGAAGAGGAGAGUGGAAUUCCUGGUGUAGCGGUGAAAUGCGCAGAUAUCAGGAGGAACACCAAUUGCGAAGGCAGCUCGCUGGGACGUUACUGACGCUGAGACUCGAAAGCGUGGGGAGCAAACAGG